AUUGAACGCUGGCGGCAGGCCUAACACAUGCAAGUCGAACGAGUGGCGGACGGGUGAGUAAUGUCUGGGAAACUGCAUGAUGGAGGGGGAUAACGACGGGAAACGGUAGCUAAUACUGCAUACCAUCAGAUGUGACCAGAUGGGAUUAGCUAGUUGGUGGGGUAACGGCUCACCAAGGGGACGAUCCCUAGAUGGUCUGAGAGGAUUACCAGCCACACUGGAACUGAGACACGGCCCAGACUCCUACGGGAUGCAGCAGUGGGGAAUAUUGCCCAAUGGGCGCAAGCCUGAGCGAGCCAUGCCGCGUGAAUGAAGAAGGCCGUCGGUUUGUAAAUUACUUUCAGCGUGGAAGCUUUACCCUCAGAAGAAUCCCCGGCUAACUCCGUGCCAGCAGCCGCGGUAAUUC
This 406-nucleotide ribosomal RNA is filed under the name uncultured bacterium. RNAcentral's name for it is "partial 16S ribosomal RNA". It matches the Rfam family "Bacterial small subunit ribosomal RNA", at positions 30 to 526 of the family's 1533-position model. The record is from RNAcentral.